GUCUUUGUAGUACAAUUAAUACGCUGGUCUUGUAAACCAGAAAAGGAGAAUAACCAAUCUCCCUAAGACU
This 70-nucleotide transfer RNA is filed under the name Capra aegagrus (wild goat). RNAcentral's name for it is "tRNA-Thr". It matches the Rfam family "tRNA". From Rfam's summary of the family: Transfer RNA (tRNA) molecules are approximately 80 nucleotides in length. Their secondary structure includes four short double-helical elements and three loops (D, anti-codon, and T loops). Lineage: Eukaryota; Metazoa; Chordata; Mammalia; Artiodactyla; Bovidae. The record is from RNAcentral.